AUGGGCGCCCGCCCACCGGAGGAGCGACUGGAGUUGAUCGGCUGGGCGCUCAGGUAGCGAAGAUAAAUGUAAUCUUGUGGCAGGAAAUCGACAUUCUCUGCACUAUCUUUAGUUUUCCAACUGAACUUCUGAGAAAUGGAGGCUACAAUACCUAGUUUGCCAAACAGGAGAAGACUACAAUUCCCAGAAGGAACUGCGACCAACAUUGGUCCGUGCUCAUACUUUGCAUCAUGGGACUUGUAGUCAUCACCAGCUUGCGCUGAUUCUAACAGUUUCACUCUUGUUGCCCAGGCUGGAGUGCAAUGGUGUGAUUUCAGCUUACUGAAACCUCCACCUCCUAGGUUCAAGAGAUUCUCCUGCCUCAGCUUCCCGAGUAGCUGGAAUUACAGCUUCAGAUCCAAAUGGUAUGCUAGCAUUCUCUUCCUAGCAGUCCACUGUCAAGACUUCACUGUUAGAAGAAGAAUCACACCAGAAUUAAGGUCAAAUGGAUUAUCUUAUUCUUAAUUGCUGAAAAUCACACCUCAUUGAAAUUUGCUUCAUAACUGAACCAUGAAUUUUUCAUCAAACAUACUUUUGUGUUUCUCCUCCUGGCAUUCUUUAUGAGGAACUUCUUUUUGGAGCUCACUGACUUCCUGUUCUAAUUUGGUCCAGUUAUUUUCUAGAAUUGCUACAUGACUGUCAUCCUGGGACAUCCUUCUGUUGGAAUCUGGGAGAGCUUACAACUUUUCAUAUCCUCUCUUCUUCUUUGUGUUUUUCACCCUGAAGUGUACAAAGUCAAAUGAAUUUCCUAGAAAAACUAGUGAGUUAAUAUUUUGAGUCCUUGUGAUAUGGGAGGGGGGCAGGGAAGUGCUGGGUAGAGAAGGGUGGGGUCCCUGGUGAGGGCUCCACUCUCAGGCCUGUGCUCAUGGACCUAAAUGAGGACAGGCAUUUCUGUUUUCAUGCCCCAAAUGUUGCCUUUUGGCCCACCAUGCGCCCCAUCCUGUACCCAUAAAAACCCAAGACUUGAGAAGGCACAGACACAAGUGGCGGGACGUCAAGAGAGCUGAAGAACACAGCAACAGACACCAGCAGACAACAUCAGGCCAUCGAUGGCUGCAUGAUGUGGAAUUUGGCUGGGGGCAGUUGGAGGAGAGUCUGGCUAUUGGGCGACCUGACUCCAGGGGAAGACUACCUUCCCACUCCAUCCCCCUUGGGGCUCCUCAUGCAUCUCACGAGAGCUACCUCCACCACUCAAUAAAACCUUGCACGCAUCCUCCAA
RNAcentral lists this long non-coding RNA (1258 nucleotides) under Homo sapiens (human). RNAcentral describes it as "long independently transcribed non-coding RNA 2235, transcript variant 4 (LINC02235)". The record is from RNAcentral. Lineage: Eukaryota; Metazoa; Chordata; Mammalia; Primates; Hominidae.